Molecule: RNA transcript, 8121 nt
Organism: Loxodonta africana (African savanna elephant)
Lineage: Eukaryota; Metazoa; Chordata; Mammalia; Proboscidea; Elephantidae
Gene name: protein FAM170B-like
Exons: 2
Source: RefSeq, a predicted model, not a curated record
CACACGGAGCCUCAGAGCCCACUUUGUUUUUCCUGCAGUUGGGCACGACCCCAGGGACAUGACCCUUGAGAGUGCUGACACUUCCUGAAGCCAGUGACCCUCCCCCUGGGCUUCUCCCUCCCUGGGUCUCAGAAUCUUUGAGGCCAACUUGUACCCUCAGAAGUGUUUCUGCUGAAGGACACGUAAACAGCACUGUGGAUUUGUGUCCCGCAGUCUGCAAAACUGCCUCCCCUGAGUGGGGUGAGGAGCUACUGAAAUACUGAAAUCAUUGAAACUAACAGAAGCCACAGCUCAUGGUGCUGGGAGAAAACUGGGAAGGACGGAGAGGUGAAGAGGCUAUAAAGGCCCAGUCGUGAAGGCGACCAUGAGCCAGGAUGUCCUGAAGUCGCAAAGCUGACCAAUGCUGAGUGCCCUAAAACCUGCCACUCCUGUGCCCAUCUUUUCUUUCAAUGGACAAAGUCUUCCCCUGCUCUUAUGUGCCUGGCCUGGAAGGGCCUUUGACUUAUAACAUGAAGCAGCCUCCAGAGCCUCUUGGGGCAAGUGAUGGUCAAGGAGGCUCUGCCUAACCCCACCCUGCCCUUCCCACUUGUCAGAGGACCAGGAAUUUCAGUCUUCCAGCUCCUGGGCUGAUCUAGUGACUUGUAACAGGAUUUCGCUGGAACUGGAAGGUGUUGAAGACAGGAAGUACUCCUGGGUUUCUUCACCCAGCUGAAUGCCUAGUUCCUGGUCUUAUUACACGGCUUACAUUCAGGAUAAGAAGAGGCGUUUGGAGCUUUACGCAUGACCUCUUAGCAGAGGUUUCUGUUCAGGAGCGAAGAGGUAAAAAGAAAGCAGUGUCUACUAAGUCCUUUUCCAAGAGUCUCAGGAAAUUCUCAUGAAGACCCUCUCAGGAGACUGCAGAAUUUACCUGGUCUGAACACCUUGGUUCUUCUCUGCCUGUGACCCUCUGCCUCGCAGGAGCCGUCUCUGUCACUCUGAGGAAUACACACAGGACAGACUGUGGAUGGAGGUGCCCAUCCUAGAGGCCCUGCCCUCCAUUCCUCUGCCCCUGGGGGGUUCCCUGUGAUACUUGUGGUCUCAUUUCCCAGAGAGAUGGAUACACCCCUAUCAUGUCCAGGGCUUCCCCAGACUUGGGAUUUGAUGUCGCGACUGAGACUGGGGCUUUGUUGUCCACUGUUGAGUCUGGCCCUGAAUCUGCCCCUUCCCACCAUUACCUCUGAUCACCUGUGUUCUCGCUGUUCUCCCUGGGUUUGAAGCCUGUCCUCUCUUUUGGUUCUUUCACCUCAGAGGGCCUUUUUCUUCCAGUUCUUUGACCUCGCGACAGGUCAGAUUUGACCACAGGAAAACAAAAAGAAAAUUAGCAAGUUUGUUUGACAUGUCAAGAACCGGAAUGUACAGCUUGAUUUAGGCGAAGAAAAAGUUCCAAAGCUCUACCCCUUCCCCUAGGACAUGCUCUACAGGAAAUAUCCUGCAAGCCCUGGAUCAACUCUUAUCCAGAAACAGUUAACACCCAGGAGGAUUUUUCUACACCACCUCCCAUUUACAUUCCCCUAAUGUGGCAAAAAGGAUGCAUCCCAAUCAUAAACCCAAAUUCACCCUAGGAGACCAGAAGACAUGGCUGGGGUGAGUUCAUUUUCCUUCAACCUGCCCUCCUCUCCUCCUACCAAGCCCUGCCUCUUUCUCUGCCUCUAUAGUGCUGGGAAGGGACCCAGAGUUGUUUGUUUAGGGCUUUAUGUCCACUGCUCACCUGCAGACAUGUUUCCCACCAGCCUGACAUCUCUCUUAUUCCUUCUCCUCCAAAGAACUCAGUGACACCCCCUUCACCAUCACACCUCAGCAGGGCCCCCCCCCAAUCCUCCCAAGUCCCACUGAAAUCCCAUUUCCCUUUCCCUAUUUAUGCUGCGCUCAUCCUUAGGGUCCCAAGAUCUCACCAUCCAGAUGAGGCCUGUCCUGUCCUCUCCUGGGUCAGGGGAGCCUCUGAGGGGACCUGGUGUCUGUGGUCAGCUAUCUGGGGCUUCUUCCAUCCGGAUCCCCCUUAGGGCUGGAGUUCUCUGUGCACUUGGGUUGGGAGGGUUGGGGUCACAGUGGAAGGAGGGUAUGAUCUUCCAGGGCGGCUGGGUUAAACGAACCUGAAUGGAGGUCUCUCCUGAAGGGCCCACGUUUCCAGCCCAAAGGCCCUGCUCCUCCUAUUCCUGGGGUUCUAGAACGUCUUCAGGCGCUUCCCCCUCUGGCCUCGGUGGUGUGCCUGCUCCUUCUGCAGCCUGGUCUCCUGCCUCUUCAGCCUGUCCAGCUGGUGCCUCAGCCUCUUCAGUUCUUCUCUCUGCUUCUCCAGCUGCUCCUCCAGGCGUCUGCAGACCGCUCUCUUCUCCCUCACCUCCCUCUUCUUGGCCGCCAUCAGGCAACGCCUGGCCAGCUGGUGGCAGCGUCUGGGCCUGCGCUGCACUGAGCCUGGCAGCCGCCUCUCCAGCAGCUCUUCAAAGAAGACCCGGCAGCUGAAGCCCUGAGUCACACCAUGCUCCACAUGGGCCACGAGGGCCUCCCCGGACUCGAACACGCGGCAGCAGGCCAUGCAGCGGAAGCCGCGCUCACGGGUCACCAGCCACUCCGGGGUGGUUGCGCGGGGUCUCUCCCCAUGCUCCUCCCCUUGGUCGGUGGGCUCCUGGGUACAGGUCUGGGGCCCCUCCUGCCAGGGCUCCAGGGUGCUGACCAGGGACUCAGUGUUGGCCAGACUGGGGGCAGAGCCGAUGGUGCUCUCCUCAGAGAGCUCGGCUUCAAAGACCUGGGGCAUCUUGCCCACGGGGGCAAAGGAGGUUUUGGUCUGCCAGGAGACCGCCACCCCCUUGACCGUGCGCACCUUGGUGAAAUAUGCACACCUGACCCAUGGCUUUCCUGGGGCUGCCCCGUAGCUGGAGGAGUGAGAGGUCUGCUCGGUGGAAGAUGACAGAAAAGAGUUCUCAGAUUGUUUUGGAAUCUUCCUGGGCCUGGAGCUUCGACUUUUUUCAUGGCAUGUUGUUGACUGUUGCACAUUUUCCUCUUGGAUAGAGACCUCUGAGAAUAGAGAGUCAAUUUACUUGAGCUUUCAGGGUCCUUAUUCUCACCUGUGACCUCAAAUCUUUGGUCAUAGGGACCCCUGGAGGCCUUUCCAUCACCACAUCCUCCACCUCUACAGACCCCAUGGUUUCUUUCUUCUUCCCCAGAGACCCACCACCCUUGGGGGCACUGCUGUGGAAGACAAAGUCUCCAUUGUAAAGUGGCACUGUUUAUGGUAGUUCAUUUUUUAAGAAGUUAUUUUUCUUUAAUUCCACAUUUAUUGAAUUCCAAUGAAUUUGUUCCUUUGGAACUUAGAAAUGACCUCAUUCCCAUGAAGCUUCAUAAUAAAUGUGUGACUUGAUGUUUUGUAUGCGGGUGAUAUUCUUAGUAAAUUUGGAGGGUAAACACUCCAGAGCAAUGGUCACCUCUUUUCAUCCUCUUUUUACUGAAAGGCUUUUUAUAGAGGAGGUAUACGUAAAGAGAAGAAUGUGUAUAUUUAGUUAUGAUUCUUACAUGUAUACCUCUUCCUUGCACCCUUCUUAACCCAGCCACAGUAGAAGAUGAAAAUUGUUUUUCUCAGAAUAGAAGCCCAGUCCUUAGUAGAUGAAGUGAGGCAGAAAGAGAUGGCCGUAUCUGAGAACCUUGAUGCGAGAACUUCAGAUGGAGAACACACAGCCUUCUCCGCUGUGUAUGUCUCAGUGGGUUGUCUGUGUCAACCUAAAGGUCUGUGUAUGUUUCUGAAUCUGUGGGAAGGACUGCAGAGUUCAGGAUGCAGAAAGAGAUGGAGCUAGGUCGGGUGCGUUGGAUGGAGGGAAAGCUCGAGAGAGAGACAAGAUUCAGAGAUGGAACAUGCCAGCAGUUGGUUAGAAGGAUACAGAGAUCAAGGAGGGAGCAGAAAGCAGGGCUCAGCCACUGAAGGGCAGAAUGGGGCAGCAACCAAGAAGACAAAGGGGGGGCAGACUAGUCGGAGAAAGAAUGGAUAACUAAGAAUGAUAGCAGAAACUGAGGUUAGCUAUAGUUGGAAUUUUAAAAUUCUUUCCUGCUAGACUUUGGAAAUAUAAUGCUAAAUGGAAUAAGUUAGUAUUUGCCCUAAGUAUAGGGCAAAUACGGUACGAUCUGACUUACAUGAAAUAAGCAAAUAUAUAGAAAGCAAGGAUUAUUGGUCGUUGCCAGGUGUGGGCAGGGGGAAGGGGAAGUUUUUCCACUGGGGCAUUGAGGUUAUGUUAAUGGUUGUAGAAAAGUUUGGAGAAGGAUAUUGAGAAUGGUUAUAUGACUUGAAGAAUGUAAUAAGUAUCACUGACUCAUACAUUAGAAAUUAUUCAGUUAUGUUUUAUGUAUAUUUUCAAGACAAUUUAAAAAAAUAAAACUUUGCAGUUACAAGAGAAAAAAAAAUGAUCUAUACUAUAGCUGUCUUUACCUAGAAGAAAUGUUAAACCCUUAGGUAAAGAUGGUCAGGAGACCUUGGAGGAGAAGGGAAAUCCCUAGAGCUAGAGGGGCAGGGCCUUCCUGGACCUUCUUCCGCCUGAGUCCAGGCUGAGGACUGUGGCAGCUUACAUUGACUGGGAACUCUGAAUGAACGUGUCGUACUGUGCUCCAUCACACCACCCACUCCCAAAACCUCCUGAUAAAUUUGAUAUAUUUUUUUAAUUCGCAUGAUAUAUUAAUUCAUUCUCAUGAAAAAAUUAAGUAGAAGUCUCUGUAACCACCCUUCUCCCUGGUUCUAUACCCACUGCCCCAGUUGCCCACCUGCGUUCUUUCCACUAACAAAGCAGGAGAGUUCACAAAUCUGACUUGUCUGCUACUGUUACGGAAAGCCCCUCAGAUGACAGUAGAAUUCUAUACUUCACUUACAUAUUUAUUCCUUCGUUUAUUUAUUCACACUAUAAUUUCUUACUGUUUACUAAUGGACAGGAAGUUUUUUCAGGUGAAAGCCUCGGUGAUCCCUUGUGGUCCUUGUCUCCGGGGUGAAUCAAACCCCUUGCUGCCCAACACCCAUCGCACAGACUGAAUUUUCCUCCAACCCUUACCUCGGGCCUUAGAGAAAGGCCUCUUCCUCACGUAUUGCCGCUCCAUUCUGGCUGGGUGAAGAUGAACCACGAAGGAUGGUCACUGGCAAGACGUUUCUCCUCCUCCCACGUAGAGAUGAUGUCCCAAACUCUCACAAGUUGGGGACCUUGAUUUAGGCAGAACCGUUUGUAAUUUGGUAUCCAAAGUCGCUCUCCCACAGGAGACCUCAGAGCCACAACCUCUCCAAAGAGCAGUUGGGAUCUGAGUGAGCACCAAGGUUUCCAGUAACUCUUGUGUGACAUCAUCGCUGACAUCGCUCAGUUCCAAGGGCCCAGUUUGAAUCUAAACAGCGCACUAGGAAAAAAUAUGGCAACUGUUGUGGGAGAGGCUAGGAGGCUGGGAGGAGGGAAAUUAUAUCUUAAAAAUGAAUUGAAAUGUUCACUUAAAGAAGUCAACAUCUAAGAGGAAGGAAACUGUGAGUUGAGGAAAUAGAAGAGUAUAAUGAGUCGCUAUUUCUCCCAAACCUCUUCUCUGGCCCUGAAUCAAAUCUCUCCAGCCCUAGAAACACAAUGUCCACUCUGAACACCUCUCAGGCCCCCUUUGCCACUUAGGCUUCACACAGGCUGUUCCCUCUGACUAGUAGACGUUCUCUCCCUUCCUGUUGACUGGUUCCUCCUCCAAGGUACCCAGUCUGUGCUUCUGGUUUAUGUAUUCAGAGGACCUAGUAAUCUUUUAGUAAUCCUCCAUCAUAGCACUGAGUCAUAGGAGAUGCUCAAUUUCCCAUUUGUGUCUUCCAAAUGUGUUGUAAAUAACUUGGGCACAAAGAUGAGGUCUGCCUCAUAUUUGGCAGUCCCAGAAAGUGAGACAGAACCCCACCCAUAGGAGAUACCCAAUAUAUAUCUAUUGAUUAAAUAAAAGAAAACUCUUCCAAAAGACUCACCCUUCGUAGCCAUCCAUGUACAAUGGAGUUUUUGGUCUGUUGCCUGGAGGUACCAUCACUCAGUGGUGGUGUCUAGGCCACUCUCUCUUGACCUCCUGACUCUAAACCCUGUGAAGCCUCUUGGCCUGUCCACACGCUUCUCCCUUGGAGCCACUAAAAAGGGUAGGAUUACAUCAUCACAGAAAAGCACGGAGACUCCGGACGUCUAUGGUCAACCUGCCUGGGAGGCUUAGGAGAGCCCUCGGGGAAAGGUCCACUGUCCUCUGCUUGAUCUCCUUUUUUGUCCAGGGGGCAAUUAGAAAAGGAACAAGCAAAUUGUUGAAACAUUUUAAGGCAGGGUUUGGGAAGUUGUGCUUGGUAGGUAGAGGAGAGCCUGAGGAUUUGAAGGAAAAUGAAAGAUGUCAACAUGGGAGCAGAGGGCUCGCUUUGUGUGACGACAGAUGGUAGAAUGUGGGCAAGUGGUUGGAAAUAUAUAAAAAAAGAAAAUCUCCUAACCAUCCACUCGUAUUUCAAAAUUUAGGUCAAGCAUCACUUCCUGGUGGAGCCUUUCCGACCGUACACCUGGUAGAAUUUCCCAACCGUGCUCCCCACUCUAUUGUAUUUAAGAAACGCUUCUGCCACAACUAGGGACAAACUUGAUUGCAUUUACAUGUUGUGAUGGAUAGCAAAAAUGGCCACAUGUUCUAAUAUGUAUGUAUCCAUACAUAUUAUAUGACCUACAGCUCCCUUUCUGAAGAGCAAGAUUCCUCCUCCAGUCCUUGAAUUUGGACUGAUCUAUGAUUCUUUUGGCCUUUGGGACAGUGUAAAGACCAAUAGAAGCAGAGACCGAAUAUAAUUAGACACAUCGUGACUUGCUCUCUUACCAAAAAUGAAACCCAUCACUCUCAAGUAUAUUCUAACUCAUAGUGACCCUGAAGGACAGAGUAGAACUGCCCCAUAGGGUUUCCAAGGCUGUAAUCUUUACAGAAGGAGAGUGCCAUGUCUUUCUUCCGCAGAGCAGCUGGUGGGUACAAACUGAUUACCUUUCCUUUAGCAACUGAGCCCUUAACCACUGCACCACCAGGGCUCCUCCUUGCCCUCUUGCUGCUCUUCAAACACUGAGAACCCAUGGGAACAGCCCAGGCCACCCUAAUAAAUGACAAGAGACCAUUAGAGAGAGAAUCCAGCUGAGAAGAUUUCAGGCCCUCUGCCCGCCAGCUGACAUGGUGGCUGAUUCCAGAUACAUGAGGGCGCCCAGCCGAGAGCGGCUGAGUCUGCGCCAGACCAGAAGAACCCCAAACUGCCAACCUGCAAAACUGUGAGCGAAGUAACUGCUUGUUCUUUUAAGGCACUUCAUUUUUGGGUCAUUUGUUAUACAGCAAUUGAUAACUGAUUUGUUAACUGGGCUGUUUCUCUCACCAGACUGCAAGGAAUCUUUUCUUAAUCAUUUCUGUAUCAACAGUAUCUGGCAGAGGGUUGUUCAAGUGGUCAUUAGACAGUAGAAAUUUCUUCAUUUACAUAAUUUAAAAGUUUCUAUCAUUAUGUUUUAACUUUUAUAAAUAAGAUAUGGCUGGAUUUGCAAGUCUAAGCUGAGUGUACAUGUUUUUUCCUUAGGUAUUAAUCCCUUUUUCUUGCUAUUACUCAUACAUUUAGACAUAAUUCCAAUAUUAUACUUCAUAUUCACUGUUCUUUUUUAUUAUUAUUAUUAUUCUGCCUUUCCUGUUUUUUUUUUUUAUUGGAAUGAUGAAAUUUCUCUUACUUUCUUUUUCCUUCUAGCGAUUUGAAACUUGUAUUUUCAAUUCCUAUUCUUUUAUAGCAAACAUGAGAUCUUUGAACAUUUUAAUAUUUGGUAUAUUGUAUCAAGUUCAUAUCUCAGUUCUCCUCUCAAACAGUAAUUUUUUGCUAUCUGCCAUUGAGGUGACUCCGACUAAUGGUGAACUUAGGUAACACAGAACUAAAGUUUGCCAGGUCCUGUGUCAUCCUCACAAGCGCCAGCAAUUUAGAUUCCAUCAUUAUGGCUAAUGUGCCAGUCCAUCUCACCAAGGGUCUCCUACAGCCUUGUUGGCCUUCUUCUUCACCAACCACGAUAUUCUCCUCUAGGACUGAUUAAUCUGUCCUGAUGACAUGUCCAAAGCAAGUGAAUUGGACAGUAUUCUCUUGUGAUC